GUGCUCACUUCAACAGCACAUAUGCUAAAAUUGGAAUGAUAUAGAGAAGAUUAGCACAGCCCCUGUGAAAGGAUGACACGUAAGAAGGGGGAAAAUGAUACCUAUUUUU
This is a small nuclear RNA of Ursus americanus (American black bear), 109 nucleotides long. The record is from Ensembl. NCBI's taxonomy places the organism in Eukaryota, Metazoa, Chordata, Mammalia, Carnivora, Ursidae.